Molecule: ribosomal RNA, 2929 nt
Filed under: Citrobacter freundii
Lineage: Bacteria; Pseudomonadati; Pseudomonadota; Gammaproteobacteria; Enterobacterales; Enterobacteriaceae
Description: bacterial LSU rRNA
Rfam family: Bacterial large subunit ribosomal RNA
Source: RNAcentral
GGGUUGUGAGGUUAAGCGACUAAGCGUACACGGUGGAUGCCCUGGCAGUCAGAGGCGAUGAAGGACGUGCUAAUCUGCGAUAAGCGUCGGUAAGGUGAUAUGAACCGUUAUAACCGGCGAUUUCCGAAUGGGGAAACCCAGUGUGAUUCGUCACACUAUCAUUACGUGAAUACAUAGCGUAAUGAAGCGAACCGGGGGAACUGAAACAUCUAAGUACCCCGAGGAAAAGAAAUCAACCGAGAUUCCCCCAGUAGCGGCGAGCGAACGGGGAGCAGCCCAGAGUCUGAAUCAGCUUGUGUGUUAGUGGAACGGUCUGGAAAGUCCGACGGUACAGGGUGAUAGUCCCGUACACCAAAAUGCACAGGUUGUGAACUCGAAGAGUAGGGCGGGACACGUGGUAUCCUGUCUGAAUAUGGGGGGACCAUCCUCCAAGGCUAAAUACUCCUGACUGACCGAUAGUGAACCAGUACCGUGAGGGAAAGGCGAAAAGAACCCCGGCGAGGGGAGUGAAAAAGAACCUGAAACCGUGUACGUACAAGCAGUGGGANNNNNNNNNNNNNNNNNNNNNNNNNCCUUUUGUAUAAUGGGUCAGCGACUUAUAUUCUGUAGCAAGGUUAACCGUAUAGGGGAGCCGAAGGGAAACCGAGUCUUAACUGGGCGUUAAGUUGCAGGGUAUAGACCCGAAACCCGGUGAUCUAGCCAUGGGCAGGUUGAAGGUUGGGUAACACUAACUGGAGGACCGAACCGACUAAUGUUGAAAAAUUAGCGGAUGACUUGUGGCUGGGGGUGAAAGGCCAAUCAAACCGGGAGAUAGCUGGUUCUCCCCGAAAGCUAUUUAGGUAGCGCCUCGUGAACUCAUCUUCGGGGGUAGAGCACUGUUUCGGCUAGGGGGUCAUCCCGACUUACCAACCCGAUGCAAACUGCGAAUACCGAAGAAUGUUAUCACGGGAGACACACGGCGGGUGCUAACGUCCGUCGUGAAGAGGGAAACAACCCAGACCGCCAGCUAAGGUCCCAAAGUCAUGGUUAAGUGGGAAACGAUGUGGGAAGGCACAGACAGCCAGGAUGUUGGCUUAGAAGCAGCCAUCAUUUAAAGAAAGCGUAAUAGCUCACUGGUCGAGUCGGCCUGCGCGGAAGAUGUAACGGGGCUAAACCAUGCACCGAAGCUGCGGCAGCGACACUAUGUGUUGUUGGGUAGGGGAGCGUUCUGUAAGCCGUUGAAGGUGUAUCGUGAGGUAUGCUGGAGGUAUCAGAAGUGCGAAUGCUGACAUAAGUAACGAUAAUGCGGGUGAAAAACCCGCACGCCGGAAGACCAAGGGUUCCUGUCCAACGUUAAUCGGGGCAGGGUGAGUCGACCCCUAAGGCGAGGCCGAAAGGCGUAGUCGAUGGGAAACAGGUUAAUAUUCCUGUACUUGGUGUUACUGCGAAGGGGGGACGGAGAAGGCUAUGUUAGCCGGGCGACGGUUGUCCCGGUUUAAGCAUGUAGGCGGAGGUUCCAGGUAAAUCCGGUACCUUUUUAACGCUGAGGUGUGAUGACGAGGCACUACGGUGCUGAAGUAACAAAUGCCCUGCUUCCAGGAAAAGCCUCUAAGCAUCAGGUAACAUCAAAUCGUACCCCAAACCGACACAGGUGGUCAGGUAGAGAAUACCAAGGCGCUUGAGAGAACUCGGGUGAAGGAACUAGGCAAAAUGGUGCCGUAACUUCGGGAGAAGGCACGCUGAUAUGUAGGUGAAGUGAUUUACUCAUGGAGCUGAAAUCAGUCGAAGAUACCAGCUGGCUGCAACUGUUUAUUAAAAACACAGCACUGUGCAAACACGAAAGUGGACGUAUACGGUGUGACGCCUGCCCGGUGCCGGAAGGUUAAUUGAUGGGGUUAUCCGUAAGGAGAAGCUCUUGAUCGAAGCCCCGGUAAACGGCGGCCGUAACUAUAACGGUCCUAAGGUAGCGAAAUUCCUUGUCGGGUAAGUUCCGACCUGCACGAAUGGCGUAAUGAUGGCCAGGCUGUCUCCACCCGAGACUCAGUGAAAUUGAACUCGCUGUGAAGAUGCAGUGUACCCGCGGCAAGACGGAAAGACCCCGUGAACCUUUACUAUAGCUUGACACUGAACACUGGUCCUUGAUGUGUAGGAUAGGUGGGAGGCUUUGAAGUGUGGACGCCAGUCUGCAUGGAGCCAUCCUUGAAAUACCACCCUUUAAUGGCUGGUGUUCUAACGUGGACCCGUUACCCGGGUUGCGGACAGUGUCUGGUGGGUAGUUUGACUGGGGCGGUCUCCUCCUAAAGAGUAACGGAGGAGCACGAAGGUUAGCUAAUCCUGGUCGGACAUCAGGAGGUUAGUGCAAAGGCAUAAGCUAGCUUGACUGCGAGAGUGACGGCUCGAGCAGGUGCGAAAGCAGGUCUUAGUGAUCCGGUGGUUCUGAAUGGAAGGGCCAUCGCUCAACGGAUAAAAGGUACUCCGGGGAUAACAGGCUGAUACCGCCCAAGAGUUCAUAUCGACGGCGGUGUUUGGCACCUCGAUGUCGGCUCAUCACAUCCUGGGGCUGAAGUAGGUCCCAAGGGUAUGGCUGUUCGCCAUUUAAAGUGGUACGCGAGCUGGGUUUAGAACGUCGUGAGACAGUUCGGUCCCUAUCUGCCGUGGGCGCUGGAGAAUUGAGGGGGGCUGCUCCUAGUACGAGAGGACCGGAGUGGACGCAUCACUGGUGUUCGGGUUGUCAUGCCAAUGGCAUUGCCCGGUAGCUAAAUGCGGAAGAGAUAAGUGCUGAAAGCAUCUAAGCACGAAACUUGCCCCGAGAUGAGUUCUCCCUGAGACUUUAAGUCUCCUGAAGGAACGUUAAAGACGAUGACGUUGAUAGGUCGGGUGUGUAAGUGUAGCGAUACAUUGAGCUAACCGAUACUAAUGAACCGUGAGGCUUAACCUUACAACGCCGAAG